AUGUUGGGUCACGGGAAGGAACGAAGUCGCGGGGCUCCGUGUUUCAUUGUCAGAGUGUGAAAUUCUUGGAUUUUUGAUCGACGAACUACUGCGAAAGCAUUUGCCAAGGAUGUUUUCAUUAAUCAAGAACGAAAGUUGGGGGCUCGAAGACGAUUAGAUACCGUCGUAGUCUCAACCAUAAACGAUGCCGACUAGGGAUUGGCGAAUGUUUUUUUAAUGACUUCGCCAGCACCUUAUGAGAAAUCAAAGUUUUUGGGUUCCGGGGGGAGUAUGGUCGCAAGGCUGAAACUUAAAGGAAUUGACGGAAGGGCACCACCAGGCGUUAACAAAGCUGAAAGCUCUAGCGCCAGUGAGGGGGAAACCUCUUGCUAGUCAACACAAUUCGAUUGUGUUGGCAACACCUUCAAAUUGCUGGAAAAUUCUAAAGCCAUUGCAUACCAAGGUGUGAAGGAAACUUCAUGCUGGCCAGGGUAAUGACCUCGGGUAUGGUGACAACUGCAAUGGAUGACGAGAUUUUCAGUCUCUGAAAUGGACAACCAGCAGCCAAGUCCUAAACAUGAUGUAAUAUCAUGCAUGGAUGCAGUUCACAGACUAAAUGGAGGUGGGCUGUCGAAUAAAUACCGACGGCUUAAGAUAUAGUCGGCCCUUAUCGAAAGAUAACCAGUAAGAGGAAACCAUGUUUAUAGUGGUGGAGAGCUUACUGGGCAUCAGGUAGUACUUGGCAGUGUGAGCUGUCAAGGGCUCCACCAUGGUGGAGCCUCUGAUGCGGAACUAGCGGGAGCCUGCGGCUUAAUUUGACUCAACACGGGAAAACUUACCAGGUCCAGACAUAGUGAGGAUUGACAGAUUGAGAGCUCUUUCUGAUUCUAUGGGUGGUGUGCAUGGCCGUUCUAGUGGUGGGUGCUGUAGGGUGUAAUCUACA
This 922-nucleotide ribosomal RNA is filed under the name Scenedesmus sp. ISTGA1. Its description in RNAcentral is "bacterial SSU rRNA". It matches the Rfam family "Eukaryotic small subunit ribosomal RNA", at positions 855 to 1322 of the family's 1831-position model. The record is from RNAcentral. Lineage: Eukaryota; Viridiplantae; Chlorophyta; Chlorophyceae; Sphaeropleales; Scenedesmaceae.